AAAGGUGAGGCCCCCCCCGCUUCCUUCCUCACGGCUCCACGUGCCUCACUCCCGAAGCUGUGAGCUCCGUGGAAGACAAAGACAGAGGAGGGCCUGUCUUCGGUCAAUGGUAUAUGAAUAGCUGUGUUCCCCUGCUAGAACGAACCACCAAGCAAGCUUUGACACUGCCUGCACCCCCUUGCCCACCCUUAUUCACAGCCACCAAUACAUCCUGUUCAUGCAAAAGAAAGUAAAACAAAAGACUUUUUUUCCUUU
Unclassified non-coding RNA from Capra hircus (goat), 255 nucleotides. Its record names the gene 7SK. It matches the Rfam family "7SK RNA". Rfam says of the family: 7SK was discovered as an abundant small nuclear RNA in the mid-70s but a possible function has only recently been suggested. Two independent studies have found that 7SK RNA binds the CDK9/cyclin T complex (known as elongation factor P-TEFb). P-TEFb activates transcription by phosphorylating the C-terminal domain of RNA polymerase II. NCBI's taxonomy places the organism in Eukaryota, Metazoa, Chordata, Mammalia, Artiodactyla, Bovidae. The record is from Ensembl.